Molecule: long non-coding RNA, 938 nt
Organism: Capsicum annuum
Lineage: Eukaryota; Viridiplantae; Streptophyta; Magnoliopsida; Solanales; Solanaceae
Exons: 3
Source: RefSeq, a predicted model, not a curated record
AACCCCUUAACAGAAUAUAGAUAUACACACACCACUCAAAAGAAAAAAAACAUUACACACACACUACCUCACUGUAUAAGACACCAUCGUCUUCUCCGCAAUUCACAAAAAAUCACUCUCACAUACGCAUACUACUCACCUUCACUGGAAAAGGCUCUCAUACGGAUGCACAAUUCUCUCUACACAGUACACACGCAGCUCACCGCACACUCACCGAAGACGAAAAAUUUCUCACAAAAAAAAUGCACACACAUCGUGGAAGCCAGUGGAGAAGAAAAAGAGUGGAAUCGGGUGAAAACAGUAGAAAAGAUGGAGAAACAUUGAUGAAUUGAGGGGGGAGAAACAGUGAACGAUCGAGAAAGGAAGGUCGAUUUUCUGAUGAAAUCUCGUCGGAAACGUCAUCUCUACCGACAAUCUGAAUCCAAAAGCCACCAGCUCCUUCAUUUGUCCAAAAAUUCGAUUAAACCCACAUCACAUCGACUCAAGGAACCGACCAUUCCUUCUCCGUCCCCGUCACCGUCGAGUUCUUCGGUGAAGCUCACUAGAGCCCCGGUAAGUAGCGAAAUCCGUGGUCAAAACAGUGCACAAAUUCUAGUUGAGUCAUCGGUCUUUUGGGUUCUAUUUCGAAUCACCAAGUUGGGUCCAAUUUGAAGUCGAAAUUCGAUUCGAUUUUGGUCGUUGUUAAGGUCGGCUUGAGGUUCUAGUCACGGUUUUAAUCGGAAUAAUACAUCGAUUUUGAAAGCGGCAUUGAGUUGAAGGUAUAUGAGAUCUUGAAGAUGUCAAAAAAAUUCAUCAUUCGCUUUCUUUUUGAUGGAAUCAAAUCCACAAAAUAUAUAGUCCUGAAUGUUAAGCUCAAAAGUAUUGCUUGGAAUGUUAAGACAAUACGUGUACACUGUAUAUAUAGUCCUGAAUCAAUUCAAUUCAGUUCUACUCUCACA